RNAcentral lists this ribosomal RNA (543 nucleotides) under uncultured bacterium. RNAcentral describes it as "bacterial SSU rRNA". It matches the Rfam family "Bacterial small subunit ribosomal RNA", at positions 355 to 913 of the family's 1533-position model. The record is from RNAcentral.
UGGGGAAUCUUGGACAAUGGGCGAAAGCCUGAUGCAGCAACGCCGCGUGCGGGAAGACAGCCCUAGGGUUGUAAACCGCUUUCAGCAGGGAAGAAACUGACGGUACCUGCAGAAGAAGAUGCGGCCAACUACGUGCCAGCAGCCGCGGUGACACGUAGGCAUCAAGCGUUAUCCGGAUUUAUUGGGCGUAAAGAGCUCGUAGGCGGUCCGUUGCGUCUGCCGUGAAAACCCGGAGCUCAACUCCGGGCCUGCGGUGGAUACGGGCGGACUAGAGUCCGGUAGGGGGAGACUGGAAUUCCUGGUGUAGCGGUGGAAUGCGCAGAUAUCAGGAGGAACACCGGUGGCGAAGGCGGGUCUCUGGGCCGGAACUGACGCUGAGGAGCGAAAAGCGUGGGGAGCGAACAGGAUUAGAUACCCUGGUAGUCCACGCUGUAAACGAUGGUCACUCGGUGCUGCGGGUAUCGACCCCUGCAGUGCCUUAGCUAACGCGUUAAGUGACCCGCCUGGGAGUACGGUCGCAAGGCUGAAACUCAAAUGAAUUGA